RNAcentral lists this microRNA (22 nucleotides) under Bos taurus (domestic cattle). RNAcentral describes it as "bta-miR-2285bx". Lineage: Eukaryota; Metazoa; Chordata; Mammalia; Artiodactyla; Bovidae. The record is from miRBase by way of RNAcentral.
AAAAGUUCGUUCGAUUUUUCCU